GCUUACAAUUUAAGUUUGUCGGUUUUAUCUGAAUCCCUACUUUAGAACAAAAAUUAGAAAAUAUUUUCCUUCUAUUUGAUAGACCCGAUUUCGACCUGAUUUAAGAGGAAGGAGAAAACACAAGUGUUGUAUUGUCAAGGUUGGGCGAAAGGACAUCAGACAGUAGAGAAGGAAGAUGAGUUCUCCAGUACCCAGAAGAGAGAGUCCAUGGGGUUUGCCAGAAGGUGAUAACAGACAACCUAAGGCUCAUAGAUGCAACGACCGUGUUGAGGAUGUUAUUCAGGCAUGUUUUGAAGGCAAUCCAUUUAAAACGAUACCGGGGCCUUUCAAGCUAUUCUGGCGGUGCAUGCGUUCUAAGCCUGGGGAAGAGCCUACUGAGCCAUUCUACUACUUGCAAUUGGAACCUCCCAAGAGAGAAGUGAACCUUGAGUAGAGCUUCGUUUUUGUUAAUUUCUAAACCUGUAAUGAGGUUGUUUAUGAAUCUUAUCACUCUAGGUUGUGUUACUUGGUGACAACAAUCUGCACUUCAGAAGGUGGUUCAUGGCGCAAAUUUCCCUCAAUGAAGAUUGGAAGUUCAUGUUAUUUUAUUUCCUGUUUCUGAAUAAGCACGAAUAUCUAAUAUGAAAUGAUGUUGAUACAGAUAGAAUUUUGAGAUACUAUACUGUUCUGUUCAUGUCGAAGCAAUGGUACAAUUGCG
RNAcentral lists this unclassified non-coding RNA (697 nucleotides) under Hevea brasiliensis (rubber tree). The record is from RNAcentral. Lineage: Eukaryota; Viridiplantae; Streptophyta; Magnoliopsida; Malpighiales; Euphorbiaceae.